RNAcentral lists this long non-coding RNA (740 nucleotides) under Felis catus (domestic cat). RNAcentral's name for it is "lncRNA (ENSFCAG00000052122.1)". Lineage: Eukaryota; Metazoa; Chordata; Mammalia; Carnivora; Felidae. The record is from RNAcentral.
AGUGUUUAUAGGCGCUCACGGCCAGCAAUAACAGGUUCGAGUGGCCAGGGUGGCUCUGUGACUUUUUCAUCUUCCACGCUAACUUAAACACGAGAAGAAACGGCUUUCCAGGCCGGGCUGGCCGCGCGGCCGCGGAGAUGAAGUGCGUUCGUCAUAAUUCAUAGGCUUCUCCUCUCUUCCCGCUGCUCCGGAAUCACGCUCCGCCAUUAAAAUGCAUUGUGGCCGCCUGGCCGGUGGGGCCUCUACUCGUUCCCAGGGCCAGCAGGGAUGGGCGCACAGACACAGGGGCUCUGGGCCGCCACCCCCGCCCCGCCCCUGCUGGACACGCCGGGCACUGCAGGAGCCUGGCUCCUGACAAGGGGGCGGGGCUUGCCCUAGAGCCACCGUUCCCUCCUUCACGGCAGGCCUGCCACCAGCCCCUGGCGGUAGUCACACCAGGUCGUUCUGUGGGCCCUUCUGCUCUCGGGACGCUGCCUGGGGGUGUGCUGUCCCCAGCUCGAGAGAGCACAGGACCCAAAAUCAAGAUCAGAUAUCUCCUCCAAGUGGCACAAGAUGAACGAAGUGUCAACUCUGGGUCCCGGCGGCCUCUGCCCUGCCGCGGAGAUGGUCAAGAAUAGCUCCCACAUAACGGGCGUCUGGAAAGCUCCAGGAGCAGGUGCUCCUGGGUCCCCACCCAAGCUCCCACUGGGCACGCCCUCCCACCCAGGCACCCAUCGAUCUGCCAAACGACCACCCGCUCG